This 253-nucleotide ribosomal RNA is filed under the name uncultured bacterium. RNAcentral's name for it is "partial 16S ribosomal RNA". It matches the Rfam family "Bacterial small subunit ribosomal RNA", at positions 524 to 776 of the family's 1533-position model. The record is from RNAcentral.
UACAGAGGUCUCAAGCGUUGUUCGGAUUCAUUGGGCGUAAAGGGUGCGUAGGCGGCGCGGUAAGUCGGGUGUGAAAUCUCGGAGCUUAACUCCGAAACUGCAUUCGAUACUGCCGUGCUUGAGGACUAGAGAGGAGACUGGAAUUUACGGUGUAGCGGUGAAAUGCGUAGAUAUCGUAAGGAAGACCAGUGGCGAAGGCGGGUCUCUGGACAGUUCCUGACACUGAGGCACGAAGGCCAGGGGAGCAAACGGG